GCUAUCCCUCACUGAGUCGUUUAGGUGCUCUGAUACGUAACGGGAUGGGAACUUUGUUGCAUGCUUUUCUAUUCCUUACGUAUUGUUUAUAAAUUUACAUGAUUAAGUUGUUAAUUGGAUUUUUAUGAGAUGUUUUGAUGAGGCCUUCGUGCCAAGACUUUUUAUGUUAAUGAAUUUAAUCCGCUGCAAAGUUUGAAUUAAUAUGUUGAAGGAUAAAAUUAGUUAAUUAACUUAAUUAUGAUUUUAUGAAGUGUAGCAUUCCGUUUACAUGUUGAAUACUCUGAUUAAUUAAAUGAAAUUUUUAAGUCGGGAAAACGGGGUGUUACAUUUAGUUGCUUGGUGAGUUCUUGUGCUUGGUAGAUAUCGGGAGCUUUCUUCGAUAUCGGUGUUUAGAAUUAGUCGGCUCUGAUCUAGGCUUCGUUGUGUCGGUCUAGAUUAGGUUAUCUUUGGAUUUUCUUAUGUUUGGAGAUUACCCGUUUGUUGGGAUUUUUGAGAUGCAUCUAUGUUGAUGUAAUUUAUUUAUUCAUAACAUGUAUAUUUGAAUUUACUCUUGUUUAUAUUCCGCUGCGACUGUUGAUGUUUAUAUACAUGUUUAUUGGUUUUUGAAUUUUGAAUGUUGUGUAGCCUCUAUUUCUUGAAUAAAUGUAUUAUUCGCAUGUUUAAUUGCUUUAAUAGA
RNAcentral lists this long non-coding RNA (676 nucleotides) under Medicago truncatula (barrel medic). Its description in RNAcentral is "long non-coding RNA (MTRU_LNC004767)". The record is from RNAcentral. Lineage: Eukaryota; Viridiplantae; Streptophyta; Magnoliopsida; Fabales; Fabaceae.